RNAcentral lists this transfer RNA (67 nucleotides) under Lamprotula cornuumlunae. RNAcentral describes it as "tRNA-Asn". The record is from RNAcentral. Lineage: Eukaryota; Metazoa; Mollusca; Bivalvia; Unionida; Unionidae.
GGGGAAGAAGCUACAAUUAGCAAUUAGUUGUUACCUAAUAGAUAGUGAAUAAACCUCACCUACCCCA